RNAcentral lists this ribosomal RNA (514 nucleotides) under uncultured bacterium. RNAcentral describes it as "bacterial SSU rRNA". It matches the Rfam family "Bacterial small subunit ribosomal RNA", at positions 15 to 507 of the family's 1533-position model. The record is from RNAcentral.
GAUCCUGGCUCAGAGCGAACGUUAGCGGCGGGCCUAACACAUGCAAGUCGAACGCGAAAGGUCUUCGGACUGAGUAGAGUGGCGCACGGGUGAGUAACACGUAGGUAAUCUACCCUUUGGCGGGGGAUAACGUUCCGAAAGGAGUGCUAAUACCGCAUAAGACCACGGAGUCUCCGGACGCUGUGGGAAAAGGUGGCCUCUUCUUGAAAGCUACCACCGAAGGAUGAGCCUGCGUCCCAUCAGCUAGUUGGUAAGGUAAUGGCUUACCAAGGCGAAGACGGGUAGCUGGUUUGAGAGAAUGAUCAGCCACACUGGCACUGGAACACGGGCCAGACUCCUACGGGAGGCAGCAGUGAGGAAUAUUGGGCAAUGGGCGAAAGCCUGACCCAGCCACGCCGCGUGAGUGAUGAAGGCCCUCGGGUCGUAAAGCUCUGUGGAGAGGGACGAAAACCCUGGUUUCAAAUAGGCUCCAGGCUUGACGGUACCUCUUUAGCAAGCACCGGCUAACUCUGUG